RNAcentral lists this ribosomal RNA (522 nucleotides) under uncultured bacterium. RNAcentral's name for it is "bacterial SSU rRNA". It matches the Rfam family "Bacterial small subunit ribosomal RNA", at positions 16 to 518 of the family's 1533-position model. The record is from RNAcentral.
AUUAUGGCUCAGAUGAACGCUGGCGGCGUGCUUAACACAUGCAAGUCGCGCGUGAAAGGACCUUCGGGUCCGAGGUAAAGCGGCGCACGGGUGAGUAACGCGUGGAUGAUCUACCCAUGAGUUAGGGAAUAACGGCUGGAAACGGUCGCUAAUACCAAAUACGCUCCGAUUUCAACUUCGGGGGAAAGGUGGCCUCUGCUUGCAAGCUACUGCUCAUGGAUGAGUCCGCGUCCCAUUAGCUAGGUUGGUGGGGUAACGGCCCACCAAGGCGACGAUGGGUAGCCGGUCUGAGAGGAUGACCGGCCACACUGGGACUGGAACACGGCCCAGACUCCUACGGGAGGCAGCAGUGGGGAAUAUUGCGCAAUGGGCGAAAGCCUGACGCAGCGACGCCGCGUGAGGGAUGAAAGGUCCUCGGAUCGUAAACCUCUGUCAGGAGGGAAGAACCGCCACGGUGCUAAUCAGCCGUGGUCUGACGGUACCUCCAAAGGAAGCACCGGCUAACUCCGUGCCAGCAGCAGC